Molecule: long non-coding RNA, 433 nt
Organism: Bos taurus (domestic cattle)
Lineage: Eukaryota; Metazoa; Chordata; Mammalia; Artiodactyla; Bovidae
Source: Ensembl
AGGGCUCCAGGACUCAGGACGUGCGGGACAGCGAAUCCUGGCAGAGAACAGGUGCCUUCCCCGGGUGGAAACUCAAGCCUGCUCCUAACAGCUCUGCUUCCAGGUCAGAGCCUGGGCGCCUCUUGACCGGCUUGGAGCUGGCACCACUGGAAAGUGGCUUCCCCUCCUGGCAGUGUCACCACUUACAGAGGAGGUCUCAAGCUCCAGAGAGAGCAAGUGACAGCCCCAGGCCGCACGGAGUCGGGGCAGCUGGUCGAGCCCUGAUGACGCUGCCUGCCGCUGACCAGCCUGGGAUUUAUGGAGAGGCCCUCGGGGGGCAGCCCUGAGUACUGCCGCGCCCAGCAUCCGCACCGCGCCCGCUGCUGAGGCCCCCGCGCCUCCGGCCUCACCAUUGCCCUCGCCCGCUCAUGGCCCCCGCCACCUGGCCCGGGGC